Populus euphratica (Euphrates poplar) is the source of this 1417-nucleotide long non-coding RNA. RefSeq lists it as uncharacterized. Lineage: Eukaryota; Viridiplantae; Streptophyta; Magnoliopsida; Malpighiales; Salicaceae. The record is from RefSeq and is a predicted model, not a curated record. The transcript is spliced from 2 exons.
CAGGUUUGAAGUCAAUGACAUAUUUUUCUUGUCAGCCAAACCAGAAAACUUGGCCCAUUAAGCAAAUACUUCUAAAGAUAAGGGAAAAUGAGAAGUUCAGAAUUGUUGGAGUAUGGCAUGAGGCUGACUUAGGUUGGAACAAACAAUCUUAAAAACCUUGUAUGCCAAAGAUUUAAGGGUGCAAAGAAUCAAAAUAUCAGAAAAUGUGCAAAUCUAUCUAAUCCCCGUAUGACAAGGCUGAAAAAUUGAGUUCGAUAACACAUGCACAGUUCUCUCCGACACCUAGCUAUGAAAUGAAUGGAACCAAAAGAGAUCAUGCAAGAAAUUACACUACUUGUUUCCAAACUUCCAGCUUAGAUAAAUAACCAUCACAGGAAACCGGUUCUGAAGGAAAAAAUAAAGCUGCUUUAUUUCUUUCAUGUGUUUACACGAAAGUAAACCGCACAUCACAGGGUGGCACACGCUAUUCACUGCAUAGCCAUAACUUAUGAGCUUACAAUGUCAUGAUUAAAAUCCUUGCACCCUAAUGCUCAUGUCUCAUUAACAUAACAUAGUUGAUUAAGUUUUUUGGGGUUGCAAUUCUCAAUCUGUUUCAAACAAAAAAGAGAAAUGUUUGGGCACAUUGAAUCUUUGAUUCUACAAAUUGGGGGGUGGUUGUGGCGCUGAAAAGCGAGCAGCCUGCAAGAAAAAGGCAGGGAAAAUAGCUCUGCAAGUAAAGCAAUGUGGAAAAGAUUUAUUCAAGUAAACCAAGAAGUUAGUGCAAGUGAACACCAAUAAAGGCGAGAACCACUAAACAAAUUGCGAUUGAAGCAACAAAGCUAGAAUGGAAUGGAAAACGGUAACUGAUGGAGAGUAUAAAAGGCAAAGAGCAAUAGUAACCGAUGAAAAGCAGAAAAGGCAAACAUAAUUUAUAUUUCCAGAGGAAAAAAACCAAUAACCAACAUGGCAAUAAAGAAACAGUUGACCGAAGACAAACCUGGAAAAGGUUGCAACAACAGAAAACAUAUUCAACAGAAUCCUUCAGGUCAAACCAUGCUAAAACAUGAGCCAAUUUAAGCCUUUGAAUGCUCAUAAGCUGAAAAGCAUGUGAGGAAAAAUAGAAAUAAAAAGGGAAGCAACAUGGAGACAAAGGACAAAUACCAGAGAGUCACAAAGAAACACAUAACCGAAGAACAUGUUAAAAGACCAAAACAAUGAAGAUAGUGUUUCUUACCCAAUGCUAAGGUUGUUUUUUUUUUUUUUCUUUUUUGGACCAAGUUUAUAUCGAACCUCAUCAUUUUUAAUCAUCUCUUGAUUAAACUCAUCUCAUUCCUCUAAGAAAUGCACUUGCUGCACAACUUGUAUAAAUAAAAUUACAUUUGUUUACUAAUUCUAGGAAACGUUUUUAAGCAAAUGAAAUAGGACUACAAAAUCAAAA